Molecule: ribosomal RNA, 742 nt
Filed under: Cryptosporidium xiaoi
Lineage: Eukaryota; Apicomplexa; Conoidasida; Eucoccidiorida; Cryptosporidiidae
Description: SSU rRNA
Rfam family: Eukaryotic small subunit ribosomal RNA
Source: RNAcentral
UUUGGUGACUCAUAAUAACUUUACGGAUCACAUUAUGUGACAUAUCAUUCAAGUUUCUGACCUAUCAGCUUUAGACGGUAGGGUAUUGGCCUACCGUGGCUAUGACGGGUAACGGGGAAUUAGGGUUCGAUUCCGGAGAGGGAGCCUGAGAAACGGCUACCACAUCUAAGGAAGGCAGCAGGCGCGCAAAUUACCCAAUCCUAAUACAGGGAGGUAGUGACAAGAAAUAACAAUACAGAACCUUACGGUUUUGUAAUUGGAAUGAGUUAAGUAUAAACCCCUUAACAAGUAUCAAUUGGAGGGCAAGUCUGGUGCCAGCAGCCGCGGUAAUUCCAGCUCCAAUAGCGUAUAUUAAAGUUGUUGCAGUUAAAAAGCUCGUAGUUAAUCUUCUGUUAAUUUUUAUAUAUAAUAUUUCGAUAUUUAUAUAAUAUUAACAUAAUUCAUAUUACUUUUUAGUAUAUGAAACUUUACUUUGAGAAAAUUAGAGUGCUUAAAGCAGGCUAUUGCCUUGAAUACUCCAGCAUGGAAUAAUAUUAAGGAUUUUUAUUCUUCUUAUUGGUUCUAGAAUAAAAAUGAUGAUUAAUAGGAACAGUUGGGGGCAUUUGUAUUUAACAGUCAGAGGUGAAAUUCUUAGAUUUGUUAAAGACAAACUACUGCGAAAGCAUUUGCCAAGGAUGUUUUCAUUAAUCAAGAACGAAAGUUAGGGGAUCGAAGACGAUCAGAUACCGUCGUAGUCUAACCA